CUGAAUCAGAACAUCAAAGUAGUCUCUCAACUGAAGCCAAGUAAAGGACUUUUUCAAAUGCCAGGUUUACCUGCAGGUGGCUUAAAUCACAACAGGAAACAAGGUGACGGCUGCCCAACUCAGCAAACCUGUUUGUUACAAAUAAGUCGACGUUGCCAAGGUGCAUGGAGCCUCCCUGUUGCGAGGCCUUCCCAUCCACGUCCGGCUUGAGUGGGCGAAGUGGCAAAAGCUCUAAUUAUGUUCGGGGAAGCUUCAAGUCCGAAGUGGCAAGCAUCACAGACAUUUAUGAAGUGCCUCUAGAUAAAGCAAUGAAUAAGAAAGACAAGAU
Long non-coding RNA from Lutra lutra (Eurasian river otter), 328 nucleotides. RefSeq lists it as uncharacterized. Lineage: Eukaryota; Metazoa; Chordata; Mammalia; Carnivora; Mustelidae. The record is from RefSeq and is a predicted model, not a curated record. The transcript is spliced from 3 exons.